RNAcentral lists this ribosomal RNA (253 nucleotides) under uncultured bacterium. Its description in RNAcentral is "partial 16S ribosomal RNA". It matches the Rfam family "Archaeal small subunit ribosomal RNA", at positions 474 to 727 of the family's 1478-position model. The record is from RNAcentral.
UACCAGCACCCCGAGUGGUCGGGACGAUUAUUGGGCCUAAAGCAUCCGUAGCCGGCCUUACAAGUCCUCCGUUAAAUCCAGCUGCUUAACAGAUGGGCUGCGGAGGAUACUAUAAGACUAGGAGGCAGGAGAGGCAAGCGGUACUCAGUGGGUAGGGGUAAAAUCCGUUGAUCCAUUGAAGACCACCAGUGGCGAAGGCGGCUUGCCAGAAUGCGCUCGACGGUGAGGGAUGAAAGCUAGGGGAGCAAACAGG